This 253-nucleotide ribosomal RNA is filed under the name uncultured bacterium. Its description in RNAcentral is "partial 16S ribosomal RNA". It matches the Rfam family "Bacterial small subunit ribosomal RNA", at positions 524 to 776 of the family's 1533-position model. The record is from RNAcentral.
UACGUAGGUGGCAAGCGUUGUCCGGAAUUAUUGGGCGUAAAGCGCGCGCAGGCGGUUCUUUAAGUCUGAUGUGAAAGCCCACGGCUCAACCGCGGAGGGGCAUUGGAAACUGGGGAACUUGAGUACAGAAGAGGAAAGCGGAAUUCCACGUGUAGCGGUGAAAUGCGUAGAGAUGUGGGGGAACACCAGUGGCGAAGGCGGCUUUCUGGUCUGUAACUGACGCUGAGGCGCGAAAGCGUGGGGAGCAAACAGG